GAUGAACGCUGGCGGCGUGCUUAACACAUGCAAGUCGAACGGUGAAGGGACCGGUUUUUGCUGGUUCUGGAUGAGUGGCGAACGGGUGAGUAACACGGGAGUACCCUGCCCCCUUCUUCUGGAUAACCGCAUGAAAGUGUGGCAAAUACGGGAUAAUCUGCGACUGCUGCAUGGUGGGGGUGGGAAAGGUAUUGAUUCGGCGGGGGGUGGGAUCGCGGCCUAUCUGCUUGUUGGUGGGGUGACUGCCUACCAAGGCGGUGACGGGUAGCCGGACUGGGGUGGUGGACGGUCCUACUGGUGCUGCGCCGCCGAGCCGCCUACUGCGGGCGGCAGCAGGGACUCUUAUGGCACGGUGGGCGCAAUGCUGAUGCAGCGCCGCCGCGUGCAUGAUGGACGCCGUCGGGUUGUACACCUCUUUCGCCAGUGAAGCAGGCCUUUCCCAUUUGUGGGUGGGUUGACGGUACCUGGAUAAGAAGCGCCGGCUAACUACGUG
RNAcentral lists this ribosomal RNA (493 nucleotides) under uncultured bacterium. RNAcentral's name for it is "partial 16S ribosomal RNA". It matches the Rfam family "Bacterial small subunit ribosomal RNA", at positions 28 to 507 of the family's 1533-position model. The record is from RNAcentral.